UCUCAUCCAGAGCAGCGGAGGGAACGGCCCGAUGAAACUGCGGCAACCCUUGCGCAGCAAAACGGUGCCAAUUCCUUUAGGCAAAGCCUAGAAGAUGAGA
RNAcentral lists this non-coding RNA (100 nucleotides) under bovine gut metagenome. Its description in RNAcentral is "SAM riboswitch (S box leader)". It matches the Rfam family "SAM riboswitch aptamer (S box leader)". From Rfam's summary of the family: The SAM riboswitch is found upstream of a number of genes which code for proteins involved in methionine or cysteine biosynthesis in Gram-positive bacteria. The record is from RNAcentral.